GAUGAAGAACGCAGCGAAAUGCGAUACGUAAUAUGAAUUGCAAAUUCAGUGAAUCAUCGAGUCUUUGAACGCACAUUGCGCCCCCUGGUAUUCCGGGGGGCAUGCCUGUCCGAGCGUCAUUGCUGCCCUCAAGCACGGCUUGUGUGUUGGGCCCCGUCCUCCGAUCCCGGGGGACGGGCCCGAAAGGCAGCGGCGGCACCGCGUCCGGUCCUCGAGCGUAUGGGGCUUUGUCACCCGCUCUGUAGGCCCGGCCGGCGCUUGCCGAUCAACCCAAAUUUUUAUCCAGGUUGACCUCGGAUCAGGUAGGGAUACCCGCUGAACUUAAGCAUAUCAAUAAGCGGAGGA
RNAcentral lists this unclassified non-coding RNA (345 nucleotides) under soil metagenome. RNAcentral describes it as "partial contains 5.8S ribosomal RNA, internal transcribed spacer 2, and large subunit ribosomal RNA". The stretch from base 1 to 119 matches the Rfam family "5.8S ribosomal RNA", at positions 35 to 154 of the family's 154-position model. The record is from RNAcentral.